UGAGAUAUAUGAUGGUUACGAA
Molecule: non-coding RNA, 22 nt
Filed under: Arabidopsis thaliana (thale cress)
Lineage: Eukaryota; Viridiplantae; Streptophyta; Magnoliopsida; Brassicales; Brassicaceae
Source: RNAcentral